GGAAAAACAAUAUUGAGUUCUUAAAAUUAAAUAAGAUGAUAUUUAAUGCUCUAACGCUCACACCGGAUAUGAAUCAAACUGUGUCACAAUGUUUUUGGAAUAGAUUUAAAUUAAAUAAGUAAAACUUACAUUAGUUAAAUUACAGAAUUUAGCAUUGAUUGUGCUCGUUCCUUUUCUAUUCUUAUGCGUUGACCUAGUUUUGCCUUACUUAUCUCUUCAGUUCCAUUUGACAAAUUCGAUUCCAAUGACUUUGUUUGAGAAGUUGUAUCACUGCCAUAGAGGUAACAUUAUAAGCAUCAAUAUUUUAUAUUAUAAAUAAUAAAAAUUAUUGUUCAUGUAAUUACAUAAAAUUAAAAAACUUACAUAGGUUCAAUUAUUGAAUUUAGCAUCGAUUGUGCUCAUUCUCUUUCCCUUCUUAAAUGUUGUCCUUGUUUUGCCUUACUUAUCUCUUCACUGUAGGUUGAAGAAGUUUUAACAUUUUUGACAGGUAAUUCUUUCUUUGCCAUGACUGUGUUCCAGGUACUAAACAAAACAUAAUGAACAUUAUAAGAAAUAGAAGAUAUUGGUGAGAGAAUCUGUGUUUGGUUACCUUCAAAAGUCCCAUUAGGAUCUAGUUUAUACCAUGCUAAAAUGCCAUCGUUGAGAAUACUCAAGUAGAUAAAUAACUCUUUCCCUCCAUUAAAUACUUUGUCCUCGUCCUCGUCUUCUUCUUUAAUGAAAGAUGUUGUGAUAGUUGAGUUGUUUAUCUUCUUUCGUCGAAUAAUUAAAAUUUCCUUGUUAAUUUUCUUAUUAGAACAAGCUCGUAGAUCCAAAUUCUUCACCAUCGUAACCCAAUGUUCUUAGGGUCUGACUCUGUUAUUCUGCGGAUAGUACAACUUAUAUAUAUACACAAGGAUGCGCUUGGAAAUUAUAUUCUUUGUAGCAUCGGAUUUGGACUUCGGUAUCCAACUGUCCAAGCAUAUGGUUUCCUAUAUGACUUCAUAGAACUACAUUCUUUCCAAACACGAUUUCCAGAUGAAAGUAUCACAAACAAAAGCCUUUGAUCUUGCAUAACGUUUUACAUCAUGAUGUUUAUCAAGAUAUAAUAACCACCAAUGAUAUAUAACUUUGAAUCAUAACCAAUAUCGCGAUUAUAAUUGGGAAGAAUAUUAUUAGGUAUAGAAUAUAUUAGUGAGAGAUUCUAUGUUUUGUUUCCUGGUGAAGAAGAAGUUCUAUUAAGGUCAGGGGCGGCUCUUGGGGGAUGCAGUCGCACUUGCAUCCGGCCCCAAUAUUACAAGAACCCCCAAGAUCUAACCAAGAACCUUGGUUCAAUACCUCUUUCACUCGCGCAACUCUUUGUUGAAUGUUACCUGAGAACUCUCUCUACUCUCCAACUCUUAGCUUAUAAAAAGACAAUAUUAAUUAUUUUGUCAAUUUUCUCCAUCUAUGGUUUUUAUCACACAACUAUGUUUGGGUUUGCAAUGUCAGAGGAAAUUUGGUACUACAUCCAAGUUUUCUCAAGUGACAUCCUUUUUACACUAAAGUACUAAACAUAUAAGUGGUUUAUCUGUGGAGUGUGGAUUUCACGGUGCAACAGCAAAAUUUACUUUGAUGACAGUAAGCAUAAUAUAUAAGAUAACCAUCACCCAUCCAGUGUAGCAUCCUCUGGGCAAAACGUUAAGUUCACU
RNAcentral lists this long non-coding RNA (1667 nucleotides) under Aquilegia coerulea. RNAcentral's name for it is "long non-coding RNA (ACOE_LNC002056)". Lineage: Eukaryota; Viridiplantae; Streptophyta; Magnoliopsida; Ranunculales; Ranunculaceae. The record is from RNAcentral.